UGGGGAAUAUUGCACAAUGGGCGAAAGCCUGAUGCAGCGACGCCGCGUGCGGGAUGAAAGCCUUCGGGUUGUAAACCGCUUUUGAUUGGGAGCAAGCGAGAGUGAGUGUACCUUUCGAAUAAGCACCGGCUAACUACGUGCCAGCAGCCGCGGUAAUACGUAGGGUGCAAGCGUUAUCCGGAAUUAUUGGGCGUAAAGAGCUCGUAGGCGGUUUGUCGCGUCUGGUGUGAAAGUCCAUCGCUUAACGGUGGAUCCGCGCCGGGUACGGGCAGGCUAGAGUGCGACAGGGGAGACUGGAAUUCCCGGUGUAACGGUGGAAUGUGUAGAUAUCGGGAAGAACACCAAUGGCGAAGGCAGGUCUCUGGGUCGUCACUGACGCUGAGGAGCGAAAGCGUGGGGAGCGAACAGGAUUAGAUACCCUGGUAGUCCACGCCGUAAACGGUGGAUGCUGGAUGUGGGGCCCAUUCCACGGGUUCCGUGUCGGAGCUAACGCGUUAAGCAUCCCGCCUGGGGAGUACGGCCGCAAGGCUAAAAC
This 535-nucleotide ribosomal RNA is filed under the name uncultured bacterium. RNAcentral's name for it is "partial 16S ribosomal RNA". It matches the Rfam family "Bacterial small subunit ribosomal RNA", at positions 355 to 900 of the family's 1533-position model. The record is from RNAcentral.